UGCCCUUAGGAUGGAGAUAACUCCGGGAAACUGGAUCUAAUAUUCAAUAGGUGAAUUUUCCUGGAAUGGUUUUUCGCUGAAAGGACAUUAAGAGCAUGCUUUUGAUGUUGCCUAAGGAUGGGACUGCGGCCGAUCAGGUUGUUGGUGGGGUAACGGCCUACCAAGCCUAUAACCGGUACGGGCCCUGAGAGGGGUAGCCCGGAGAUGGGAACUGAGACAAGGUCCCACGCCCUACGGGGCGCAGCAGCCGCGAAAACUCCACAAUGCACGAAAGUGUGAUGGGGUUAUCCCGAGUGCUGUCCAAUGAGGAUGGCUUUUACCUGGU
Molecule: ribosomal RNA, 325 nt
Filed under: uncultured archaeon
Lineage: Archaea
Description: bacterial SSU rRNA
Rfam family: Archaeal small subunit ribosomal RNA
Source: RNAcentral